ACUGCCUAUGGGUUGUAAACCUCUUUUUUCAGGGAGGAACAAAAUGACGUGUACCUGAGGAAUAAGCAUCGGCUAACUCCGUGCCAGCAGCCGCGGUAAGACGGAGGAUGCAAGUGUUAUCCGGAAUCACUGGGCGUAAAGCGUCUGUAGGUGGUUUAAUAAGUCAACUGUUAAAUCUUGAAGCUCAACUUCAAAAUCGCAGUCGAAACUAUUAGACUAGAGUAUAGUAGGGGUAAAGGGAAUUUCCAGUGGAGCGGUGAAGUGCGUAGAGAUUGGAAAGAACACCGAUGGCGAAGGCACUUUACUGGGCUAUUACUAACACUCAGAGACGAAAGCUAGGGUAGCAAAUGGGAUUAGAUACCCCAGUAGUCCUAGCUGUAAACAAUGGAUACUAGAUGUUGAACAGAUCGACCUGUGCAGUAUUAAAGCUAACGCGUUAAGUAUCCCGCC
This 450-nucleotide ribosomal RNA is filed under the name uncultured phototrophic eukaryote. Its description in RNAcentral is "bacterial SSU rRNA". It matches the Rfam family "Bacterial small subunit ribosomal RNA", at positions 411 to 873 of the family's 1533-position model. The record is from RNAcentral.